CUACACUUGUUAGAAAUAUGAGAUUCUGCCUUCUCUAUAGCUGGAAUGCCGAGAAUUCUGCUACAGUGAGCUGAAGAAACAUUUCCUGCUGUGACAGAAAGGAUGAACUACAAAUUCAGAGGAGGUUUUAGUGGGUCCACAUGGUGAGACAUACCCAACAAAUCAUGAUGCAAACCAGGCCAUGAAUAUAAAAGCUGAGGAAGUCUCAGACUCACAAGAGGAAGUGGAUCCUCUACAAAUAACAGUUCAGGAGAUAAAGGCUGAACCUGAGAACUGUACAAAUUCGGAGAACGCUUUAGUGGGUCCAUACGGUGAGAGAUACCAAAUACCUCAUUAUGCAAAUCAGGCCAUGAAUGUAAAAGCUGAGGCAGUCUCAGGUGCAGAAGAGGAAGAGGAUCCUGUCCCAAUAACAUUUCUAGAAAUAAAGGCUGAACCUGAGGUGAGCUGUAUGUGCACUGCUAGGCAGAUGACACAUAUGUGCAGAAAUGCCGCUUGUCUUGUCUG
This is a long non-coding RNA of Cryptotermes secundus, 504 nucleotides long. RefSeq lists it as uncharacterized. The transcript has 3 exons. NCBI's taxonomy places the organism in Eukaryota, Metazoa, Arthropoda, Insecta, Blattodea, Kalotermitidae. The record is from RefSeq and is a predicted model, not a curated record.